UACGUAGGUGGCAAGCGUUGUCCGGAUUUAUUGGGUUUAAAGGGUGCGUAGGCGGUCCUAUAAGUCAGUGGUGAAAUACGGCAGCUUAACUGUCGAGGUGCCAUUGAUACUGCAGGACUAGAGUACUGAUGAGGUAGGCGGAAUGGACGGUGUAGCGGUGAAAUGCUUAGAUAUCGUCCAGAACACCGAUAGCGAAGGCAGCUUACUAAGGAGUAACUGACGCUGAGGCACGAAAGUGUGGGGAUCAAACAGG
RNAcentral lists this ribosomal RNA (253 nucleotides) under uncultured bacterium. RNAcentral's name for it is "partial 16S ribosomal RNA". It matches the Rfam family "Bacterial small subunit ribosomal RNA", at positions 524 to 776 of the family's 1533-position model. The record is from RNAcentral.